Molecule: ribosomal RNA, 1064 nt
Filed under: uncultured organism
Description: bacterial SSU rRNA
Rfam family: Bacterial small subunit ribosomal RNA
Source: RNAcentral
GAUCAGUAGCUGGUCUGAGAGGACGAUCAGCCACACUGGGACUGAGACACGGCCCAGACUCCUACGGGAUGCUGCAGUGGGGAAUUUUCCGCCAUGGGCGAAAUCCUGACGGAGCAAGACCGCGUGAGGGAGGAAGGCUCUUGGGUUGUAAACCUCUUUUCUCAGGGAAGAAGCUCUGACUGUACCUGAGGAAUCAGCCUCGGCUAACUCCGUGCCAGCAGCCGCGGUAAUACGGAGGAGGCAAGCGUUAUCCGGAAUUAUUGGGCGUAAAGCGUCCUCUUGUGGCGAUUCAAGUCUGCUGUCAAAGCACGGGGCUUAACUCCGUUAACGCACUGGAAACUGAAUAGCUAGAGUGCCGUAGGGGUAGACGGAAUUCCCGGUGUAGCGGUGAAAUGCGUACAGAUCGGGAAGAACAUCGGUGGCGAAAGCGCUCUACUGGACGGCAACUGACACUCAGGGACGAAAGCUAGGGGAGCGAAUGGGAUUAGAUACCCCAGUAGUCCUAGCUGUAAACGAUGGAUACUAGGUGUAGCUUGUAUCGACCCGAGCUGUGCCGAAGCUAACGCGAUAAGUAUCCAGCCUGGGGAGUACGCACGCAAGCGUGAUACUCAAAGGAAUUGACGGGGGCCCGCACAACCGGUGGAGUAUGUGGUUUAAUUCGAUGCAACGCGAAGAACCUUACCAGGGCUCGACAUGUCCGGAAUCCCGCUGAAAGCUGGGAGUGCCUUCGGGAGCCGGUACACAGCUGGUGCAUGGCUGUCGUCAGCUCGUGUCGUGAGAUGUUGGGUUAAGUCACGCAACGAGCGCAACCCUCGUCUUUAGUUGCCAGCAUUAAGUUGGGCACUCAUAGAGAGACUGCCGGUGACAAACCGGAGGAAGGUGGGGAUGACGUCAAGUCAGCAUGCCCCUUACGCUCUGGGCGACACACGUACUACAAUGGUCGGGACAGAGGGCAGCGAACCUGCGAAGGCAAGCUAAUCCCAGCAAACUCGGCCUCAGUUCAGAUCGCAGGCUGCAACUCGCCUGCGUGAAGGAGGAAUCGCUAGUAAUCGCCGGUCAGAAUA